ACUUCGCUUUAUUGUUGCACGCGCCAUUUAUAGUGUUUACAAUGUAUUACUGUUACACCAAAGAUUGUGGCAUUGUAGCCCUACAGUUCUAUUACUACAUCCAUGCUGAAUAAAGAGAUGAAGCAUUCUCAACACUGAGUUUCAGUACGGGACUAGAAGUUCAAAGUUCUCCUCUGUGGUACUUUCAUCAAUGUCACUGUCUCUGACUCAUCGUCUGUUCUGGCGUUAUCCAGAUAGCCCCCCAACCCCCCAACCCCCCGAACACAUAUUCUAUCAUCUCCACAUGGAAACAUUUUCAUCUACCAUUAAAUUAUUGUGAAUAAAGUCGUCUAAUAGAGAGGUUAAACAACUGACCGUGUACGUCUACCUGUACUUGUAACUAGGGGAAUCCCCUCUUUUAUUGAGUAUUACGUCAUCAUCUUUGCACACAGCGUCAUUCUACAAGUUGUAUACAACGCGUAGAGUUGUGAGUACACGGAGGGAAGUUGUCGGAAGUAAUCCCCUGAGAAACAAAAACAAAUGGGCUGAAAUAGCUGAAACUCUGUCAUCAUCGACUUUUAUUCUGAACUGUAGACGAGUGAGAGAACGUACAAAUCUCCUCAUUGAACAACAUAAACGAGAAACUAGGGAAAAUCUUAAAAGGUUUUUCUAUUGAAACCAUCUCUCUCUCUCUCUCUCUCUCUCUCUCUCUCUCUCUCUCUCUCUCUCUCUCUCUCUCUCUCUCUCUCUCUCCGAUACACCGCUUAUCUUUUAAUAUUCUUGUCUUGUUUUCCCAUGCCUAAAAUAUUUCAUAAUACCGUACACUAAUAUGUUUCCAUACAUUUUCAAUACACUUACGUUCCUGUAUGUUUAUUUUUUAAAGAUCUGGUGUCGAAGUCGGAAAAAACAAUACUGCUGGACGAUGUCGUAGAAUUAAAAAAUGAAGAGGAGAGAGAAGAAAGAAGAAAAAGAAAAGAAGGACAGAUAAGAAAACUUAGUGAAAGAAAUCAGGAAAAGGGCACUUGAAUGACUUACACCAACGAAAAACGGCGAAUACGAUUUGCCAGUAAUCAAGAGGAAGAAUUCGCAGACAUAUCUUGUGGAUUAUUUAAAAGAAAAAUCAAAAAAUGAGAUAUCUAUGAGAAAAUCACAAAUGGAAGUAAGAAAAGAAGAAUUAUAGUUGGAGAAGGCAGAGUUUGAAAUGGAGCGAGAGGAACGGAUGCAGAGAAUGGAAAUAGAAAAGCAAGAGAAACUUGCUUUCAUUGAUUUACUUAAUAAUUAACGAAAGAUAACUAAUCAUAAAAGGUGUUCAGAAGUGUAAAAUUUUAUUCCAGAUAUUUGUUUAAUUUAUCUGAAUAAACUAAACCAUUAAAGUCAA
Long non-coding RNA from Ostrea edulis (European flat oyster), 1357 nucleotides. RefSeq lists it as uncharacterized. The record is from RefSeq and is a predicted model, not a curated record. The transcript is spliced from 6 exons. Lineage: Eukaryota; Metazoa; Mollusca; Bivalvia; Ostreida; Ostreidae.